Molecule: long non-coding RNA, 391 nt
Filed under: Homo sapiens (human)
Lineage: Eukaryota; Metazoa; Chordata; Mammalia; Primates; Hominidae
Description: non-protein coding lnc-RPIA-1:3
Source: RNAcentral
GUGCGAAGGUAGGUGGACAGACUGCAUUGCUUGUUGUUGCGCUUCGGAGGCGGCGAUCCCCGAAGGCGAGCUGAAAUACGGCUGGAGCGUUCCCAGGCUACAGUUUGUAGCCGACGAUUGUGGAAGACUAGGAGCCGGAGAGGUGGCCCACCCUCAGGGAGCGCUUGUGCUCGGAGGGCUUCUCAUUUCCCCAAUACCACAUUAAAUCGUCUCAUCUGAGGAGGAUCCACAGAGCUGUCUUCUAUGGUAAUCUGGAGAAACUGGAGUACCUUCUGCUCACGUAUCAUGACACCAAUGAGAGAGACAAGGAGGAAAGCUUACCCUGAAAGAAGCAGAUCCCAGUUCAAAAGUAGCCAUAAGAAGGAAGGAUUCACCACCUCCAGGAAAAGGU